CGUAGGGGGCAAGCGUUGUCCGGAUUUAUUGGGCGUAAAGAGCGUGUAGGCGGCCAGUCAGGUCCGUUGUGAAAACUCGAGGCUCAACCUCGAGACGCCGAUGGAAACCGACUGGCUAGAGUCCGGAAGAGGAGAGUGGAAUUCCCGGUGUAGCGGUGAAAUGCGCAGAUAUCGGGAAGAACACCCGUGGCUAAGGCGGCUCUCUAGUACGGUACUGACGCUGAGACGCGAAAGCGUGGGGAGCGAACAGGAUUAGAUACCCUGGUAGUCCACGCCGUAAACGAUGGGUACUAGGUGUGGGGGUGUCGACUCCCUCCGUGCCGAAGCUAACGCAUUAAGCACCCCGCCUGGGGAGUACGGCCGCAAGGCUA
This 371-nucleotide ribosomal RNA is filed under the name uncultured organism. RNAcentral's name for it is "bacterial SSU rRNA". It matches the Rfam family "Bacterial small subunit ribosomal RNA", at positions 526 to 896 of the family's 1533-position model. The record is from RNAcentral.